GUGUCAGCAGCCGCGGUAAUACGUAGGGUGCAAGCGUUAAUCGGAAUUACUGGGCGUAAAGCGUGCGCAGGCGGUUCGGAAAGAAAGGUGUGAAAUCCCAGGGCUUAACCUUGGAACUGCACUUUUAACUCCCGAGCUAGAGUAUGUCAGAGGGGGGUGGAAUUCCGCGUGUAGCAGUGAAAUGCGUAGAUAUGCGGAGGAACACCGAUGGCGAAGGCAGCCCCCUGGGAUGAUACUGACGCUCAUGCACGAAAGCGUGGGGAGCAAACAGGAUUAGAUACCCUGGUAGUCCACGCCCUAAACGAUGUCAACUAGCUGUUGGGGGCUUCGGCCCUUAGUAGCGCAGCUAACGCGUGAAGUUGACCGCCUGGGGAGUACGGUCGCAAGAUUAAAACUCAAAUGAAUUGGCGGGG
RNAcentral lists this ribosomal RNA (413 nucleotides) under uncultured prokaryote. RNAcentral's name for it is "bacterial SSU rRNA". It matches the Rfam family "Bacterial small subunit ribosomal RNA", at positions 505 to 918 of the family's 1533-position model. The record is from RNAcentral.